AAUUCAGCCCCACCGAAUGCAGUCAGUUUGAUCAGUUAGAACAAAACGAUCAGUCACAAAUCACAUCGAAACCUUUCUGUGAAGACCCGACGAUAGAGCUGACAUCGGGGGUCACCAGAUCGACUGACUGCUAAUUGACAAAUUGGAUUUCACUUUGGUGUGCUUGUAUCUCUGUUCAUGAUUGCGACUUGCCAUGGAGGAAAGUUUCGGUGCGCGUUUUAGCAUGAGGUGACGUAGCGGAAUACCACGUCGUCGCUGAGCUAUUGAGCCAUGGCAGAUAACCAUGGUUAUGGUUUUAAUGUGUUGUAUUUGCGGCGUUUCUAUCGCUUGCACGGAUUGCUCUUUCCGAACUGGAAAUCGCUCAACACAGUACUCAUGGUCCUGUUGGUCAUCCUAUCGGGUUUGGAGCAAUGGCUGGCCUUGUACGUGGGUCUGAUUUCAGGCGGGUAUUACAAGGUGUUGGGGGAUCAGGAUUGGAGCGGAUUUCAGACCACCACGCUGGAUGCCACGCUCAAGAUCAUGGCCAUGGUCAUCACCAAGUCCUUCCGAGUCUAUGUGACCAAUGUUAUGACCGUGGGUUGGCGACGAUCCUUGACGAUGGCCUUGCAUCAAAUGUAUUUUGCCCGCAUCCGUUAUUAUCGUCUCAACGUUCUCGAUGAAAGUGGUCUGGACAAUCCCGAUCAACGUAUAACCGCUGAUGUGUCGUUGUUAUGUCAGUCGUAUGGGAGCAUCAUCGCUGAUCUGAUCGUGGUACCAUUUACCAUCAGUUACUACACGUAUUCGGCAUACACUCGGGCGGGACCCGCUGGACCCACGGGCAUGUUCCUGUUUUUUCUCGUAUCCACCUUGAUCAACAAGGUACUCAUGUCGCCCGUGGUUCGAUUAACAGUCGAGCAAGAGCGGCGGGAAGGAGAUUUUCGUUUUAAACAUGUGACAGUACGGACGCAUGCGGAAUCGUUGGCUUUCCACAAAUCAGCCCGUGUCGAGUCAGUCAAAUCUGAUGAGAAGUUGUGGAAGCUCUGCCAAACUCAACAAAGCCUUUUCAACCGACAAUUGGCCUUGGACUUGGCGACAAAUACGUUCAGUUAUAUGGGGAGCAUCGCCAGCUUCCUCGUGAUUGCCAUUCCGAUCUUCUCGGGAGUCUAUGACGACCUGAGUCCGAGCGAUCUGGCGCGAGCCGUGUCGGAGAAUGCCUUUGUUUGCAUGUACUUGGUGUUUCAAUUCACCAAACUGGUGCAAAUGGCCUCGACCGUGAGUCGCUUGGCGGGAGUCACGCAUCGAAUCGGAGAAAUGACUGAGGUGCUAAUCCAUAUGAAUCGGACCUUUCAUUCCCAAGGUCGAAAGUCGUCGGACAAUUCCGAGGAUGAGGAGCACGACCAUUUGGUUGAAGUUCUGCCCGAUCAAAAUCCGGAGAGUCUUGUGAAGUCGUCCCAUUCGUUAGUCCUGGAACAUGUCAACCUGGUCACGCCCAAAUCACGAACGGUUCUGGUUCAAAAUUUGAGCUUGAAUUUGGAUUUGGGAUCCAAUCUUCUGAUCGUGGGACAGAGCUCGGCUGGGAAAUCUAGUUUAUUGAGAGUCAUUGCUGGUCUUUGGCCACUGGACCGAGGUGUGAUCCAACGCAAUCUGUCAGACUUGGAUGUGUUCUUUCUACCUCAACAGCCUUUCUUCACGGAUGGAACUUUGAGAGAGCAAAUCGUGUACCCGCUUCAAGUUGUGGGAACGCAUAUCGACCCACAAGAGUCCUUGGAUCUCUUGAACAUAUUGGAGGAAGUUGGUCUUGGCGAUUUGCCUCGACGAUGUGGUGGCUCGUUGGAUUCCGAUCCGAAAUGGUCGUGGUACGAUAAAUUGUCACCGGGUGAGAUGCAACGUCUGGCCUUUAUUCGAUUGUUCUUCCAUGGACCCAAGAUGGCCUUCUUGGAUGAGUCCACGUCAGCAUUAUCUUUAGACUUGGAAGAUCUUUUGUAUAAAAAAUGUGUGGAGAAGAACAUCGCUCUCGUGAGCGUUGGUCAUCGAGAAACUCUUCGACAAUACCACGACCAGGUUCUUACCAUUGGGUUACCCGAAGGCCAAUGGACUUUGGAAUCUAUACCUCAUUAAGUCAUCUUUAAUCAAUCAAUCAAUCUUCUGCUGUGAUUCUGAAUCAGGCAUCAUGAAGGAAACAAGUUGUGGCCAUUGUGGAGCUGAGGGCUCGUUGGUGGACGAAGAGCAUAAUGCUGAGAAGCUUCUGGUGUGCACUGAAUGUGGGUCAGGUGUCAAGGCCGCUUCAAACCUCGUUCAUGGUCAAGUGGUCAAUGAAAUCGUCGGCAAUAAACCCAAAACAAGCGCGUCCCAAUCCCGCUUUCCAAUCUUAUCUUUGCCUCGACAAGUCCACGGAUUCGUGGGUCGGACUCAAACUCAAGCCAAUCGAGAUUUGAUGAGAGCUUUGCGUUACGUGGCCUCAGCUGUGAAGAUUCCCACCAAUGGACGCGUAUUUAAAGAAGCCGAACAUUGGGUUAAACUUGUAUUCAAUAACGGAAAGCGAUUUCGACACCGCGAGCUCUCAGCGGGAUGCAUUUAUGUGGUUCUGAGGAGAAACGGCGAUCACAUUUCCUUGAAUGAUUUUUCCAGUACAGUGGGCGUUCGACCGACCGACAUUCAUCAAGUGGAAAAGCAUUUAAUUGCUCAUCGAGGAUUUCGAUUUGAAAAUCGGCCCGAGCGGAUUCCAUCGUCGAACAUGACUCAAAGUGAAAUUUUUAUCUCCGGAAAGUUCUGGGACAAAACUGGAAGCCAUCUAGUUAAUGAGGCCAUUCAAAAGAAAACCGAGGAUAUAUUUGACAUAUUCAUCCGCCUUGGACAUGCGUCAUUGCAACGAAGCCCCGAAUUCAUACUAACCGCGGCCUUUUUGGUUUACAAAUCCGAGAACGUGGUUUCGAGAAAGAAAAUGACCUUGAACCAAUUCAUUCGAGAAUGCUCAAUUCCUAUGAGCAACUUAACCGAAGCAAAUCUCACCAAGCCAUUGCAAAUUGUUUCAAAAAGCUUACGAGACAUGGUGCUUCGUCUUCCCUAUUUUGUUGGUCAAAUUGGCGGCAAGCCUCGGAAAUUGAUCACGGAGAAUGCUGUCAAGUACAUGAAUGACGUUUUGGAACACGGUCGAAUCCUUCUCUCGCGAUGUCAAUCUCCCGAUUUGGGUGCUGAAACUUCGGACUUGAAGUUUGACCAGGAUCUGGAUGUUAGUCAAUAUAUCCGUAGCGAUGACGAAAUCAAGGCUCUUCGACCGCUCUAUGACAAAUAUUUUAGCUCUUUCGAAAAGAAUAGAAGUGGUGGCGUUACGUAAUCUACAGUGUAUUGUUAGAGGUCUCCAAAGAAAUCCUUGCUAUUUCCCCGGUUGGAUGAUGGAAGCUGGUGUUCUUGCUCCUUGGCUGUCAACAUUUUGAAGUCUUUCCGUCGGAUUUUGUGUUUCAUUCGAUUGAAGAACGGCUUCUUAGUUUUGUUGUAAUCAAUAUUCUAAAAUCAAAACGUAUUAAAUUAUUAGCCAGUAGUCA
Molecule: RNA transcript, 3521 nt
Organism: Tigriopus californicus
Lineage: Eukaryota; Metazoa; Arthropoda; Copepoda; Harpacticoida; Harpacticidae
Source: RefSeq, a predicted model, not a curated record